GGAAGGAGCCCAGCGCAGAACGUUCCGGGGCACUCGCCCUGAGAAUGAAUGUUGCGUUAAGGAUAUUGGCAUACACCCAUGGCAGUUACACUUUGCUAAGUCAGCCUCGAAUGGUUCUCGUGAAGCCGGUAACACGGUGAGACUCCAGGGAGGGUGUUAGACCCGUGUGAAGGUGCAAUCUGCUUGGGCAAGCCGAUAUCCCGAGAGUCGCGUUGUUUGAACAUGCAGCGCUAAGCAGGUCGUAGACUCGAUCUAAGGCUAAAUAUGUCCACAGAACCGAUAGUUAACAAGUACCGUGAGGGAAAGUUGAAAAGCACUCCGUAACGGAGAGUCAAAAGACCGUGAAACCACUCAGAGUAUAAGCCAAUGGUGUCUGGAAGGUCCUGUGCUUACAUCUUGGUGUCAAGGACUCAUGCGAACCUCAGCACUUGCGGGAGCAAUCUCCGUUGCUUUGGUAAGCUUGUCCGCUGAAGCACUCCGUUGACCCACCUGGCUCGUUGUGAGGUGUCCUGAGAGCAAAGCGAAGUGUUAAGAUUGGCUUGGAGUUGGGCGUGGGCGUCUCGAUGCCUUUCGCACUCUCCUUUUCGAGCACUUCUUCAGUUCUAUUCGCACAAAGUGUGGUAGUCUUGGAGUGUGCGCUGCUUGACGCUCUCUGGAACCAUCCUCUGCGACGAAGCUUCAAUGCCUUAGUGAGCGGCCGUCUUCCUCCUCGGGAGUCGGUACAUUGGCGCGGCUUGCACACUGUCGGUGCUCCGCUGUUCAACUCUGGCGCAAGGUGUUACGUCCGAUACCAUUGGUCACGUCUCGAAACACGGGCCAAGGAGUAUAGCGUGUGUGCAAGUCUAAGGGUUCCACAAAACCUGGAGGCGUAGUGAAAGCGAGUUAUGGUGUCUCACUGGACUGAUGGAGAAGGCAGUGAUGCGUGAUCCCGCAAGUCCCGGACUCGUCGUCUGCACUGCUUCGGUUGUGUUAGCGCGAGCACCGCAGAGCACAUACGCUAUGACCCGAAAGAUAGUGAACUAUGCUUGGCGAGGGUGAAGCCCCAGGAAACUGGGGUGGAGGCCCGUAGCCGUUGUGACGUGCAAAUCC
This 1089-nucleotide ribosomal RNA is filed under the name Paracaprella pusilla. RNAcentral describes it as "partial large subunit ribosomal RNA". It matches the Rfam family "Eukaryotic large subunit ribosomal RNA", at positions 100 to 900 of the family's 3401-position model. The record is from RNAcentral. Lineage: Eukaryota; Metazoa; Arthropoda; Malacostraca; Amphipoda; Caprellidae.